ACCCCCUGCACUUACCUCAAUUCCCCUGAACUCACCUCAGCCAUCAUUCCUCCCUACACUCACCCCGGGAUCUACCUAUCCUUGUACCCACCUAAGCCCCUAUGCACCCACCACAGCCCCUAUGCCAACUCCACCUACCAUAGCUCCUAUGCCUUCCAGUACCCACCACAGCCCCUAUGUCCCUCCCUGUGCCUGCCACAGCCCCUUAUCUACCCGCAUU
This is a non-coding RNA of Pelobates cultripes (western spadefoot toad), 220 nucleotides long. Lineage: Eukaryota; Metazoa; Chordata; Amphibia; Anura; Pelobatidae. The record is from the annotation of a GenBank genome assembly.